UGAUCCCCGUCUUUUUCUUUUCUUUUUAUUUUUACAUCCACACAACCAUGAGCAUUUUCUUUGUUUUUUCUAACUUUUCUUUUUCUUUGCUCUAUGGUUUCAAGGGUGAUUUCUUUUUCUUGUUUCUUUUCAUAUUUUCACCCUUUAAUAAAAACUCACUUUUCCAAGUUUCUAAUCAAAUAUUUUUACUUUACUCUCCCCAACUUUAGAUUCCAAAACCAAAUUUAUUCAAUAAUGCUCCCUACUUAGACAUAAGCAAAAGGCAAAAUUUGUAAACAACUCGGUUUGAGGGUUCAAUUGACACGAAAGAUCCAAAACCAAAUUUAUUCAAUAAUGCUCCCUACUUAGACAUAAGCAAAAGGCAAAAUUUGUAAACAACUCGGUUUGAGGGUUCAAUUGACACGAAAGAAAUUAGGAUUCAUUUAUUCACAAAAUUUCCAAUUGAUUUU
RNAcentral lists this long non-coding RNA (449 nucleotides) under Lathyrus oleraceus (garden pea). RNAcentral's name for it is "Pisum sativum (pea) long non-coding RNA (PSAT_LNC009669)". Lineage: Eukaryota; Viridiplantae; Streptophyta; Magnoliopsida; Fabales; Fabaceae. The record is from RNAcentral.